GGCAGUGCAGCACCUCUUCUGCCUUCCUGUCCACCCCUCCUCCUGUUUCUGCACCACCUUGGGUGCAGCCUGCAUAACUGGUUCCUAUACCGUCCUCUGCGUCUCUGCCAAGGUUUGUUCCUCCUCCACCCCUCAGUGUCAAGGAGCGAAGAGAGCUUUUUGGGCUUAGACCGCCCACUUCAGAUUUCCUCACCAGUGUCCCAGGAAGGUCUGCUGUGUAUCCUCAUCUUGAAAGUAGUGGCCUUAUGAAGAAGAGGUCCUGUAGUGCUCUGCUAUGCAGUGUCCCCUGUUCACCAGACCUGAUGCUUCAUGGAUGCCUGAAGUUACUCUUCUAUCAGCUCUGACUUAGAGCUUAGAUUUUUACAGAAGACAAGAAGAGAAGUUAUUUCUGAGUAGCUUCUGUGAAGAGAAAUGAAGCAGCCUAAGGGAAUAGAAAAUGCUGGAGUGUGGUAUUUUGCAUAGAAAGAGGAGAUGCUGACAUCUGGCAUCAUGAAACUUCACAUGUCCAUUAUAAUGAUGGUCUGGUCUGGUUUCCUGGGCUGCACUUGGGCUGAGAUCUUCACAUCUGUUGGACACUUAGCUGGCUUAAUUUCUGUGGAAAAACAACUGGUCGAGCCCCUGAAAGAAUAUAUCCUUUUGGAUGAAGCCAAAUGUCUAUAAUGAAAAGCUGGGCUGAGAAAAGAUAUGCACUGAACCUUGUAAUACCUAAAGACAAGGAAGACUUGGGAAAGUUAGUGGAUGUGUACAAGGUGCUGAAGUGUCUAAAUCAAGUUGAGUCAUUAGCAGAGAGCUUUGCCCUUCAGGACCCAUCUGUUGGUGAGCUGAGCUGUGUGUGUCUGUGUGUGUGUGCAUGUC
Molecule: long non-coding RNA, 855 nt
Organism: Mustela erminea (ermine)
Lineage: Eukaryota; Metazoa; Chordata; Mammalia; Carnivora; Mustelidae
Exons: 6
Source: RefSeq, a predicted model, not a curated record